UACGUAGGGGGCUAGCGUUGUCCGGAUUUAUUGGGCGUAAAGAGCGUGUAGGCGGCCAGGUAGGUCUGCUGUGAAAACUCGAGGCUUAACCUCGAGAUGUCGGCGGAAACCAUCUGGCUAGAGUCCGGAAGAGGAGAGUGGAAUUCCUGGUGUAGCGGUGAAAUGCGCGGAUAUCAGGAAGAACACCCGUGGCGAAGGCGGCUCUCUGGGACGGUACUGACGCUGAGACGCGAAAGCGUGGGGAGCGAACAGG
This 253-nucleotide ribosomal RNA is filed under the name uncultured bacterium. Its description in RNAcentral is "partial 16S ribosomal RNA". It matches the Rfam family "Bacterial small subunit ribosomal RNA", at positions 524 to 776 of the family's 1533-position model. The record is from RNAcentral.